GCUGCCUUCUUCCUCGGUUACAAGUAUUUCUGUUUUGAUUCUGUUGAGUGAUUUUUUCUCUUGUUUUGAAUACAAGCAGUGACAUUUUCGGCUAAAUCAUUCUCUUGUUUUGAAUACAAGUAUUUUCAGCUACAAGCAGUGACAUUUUCGGCUACAAUUUCAUCUUGUUUUUUCUAUUUCUGUUGCUCUUUGUUUUGAAUGAUUUAUUCUAUAUUUUGAAUGAUUUAUUCUCUGUUUGAAAAAUUUUUAAUUAAAGAAGUUUCUCUAUGUGGCUACCUUUAACAUUCCAUUGUGUUUUCAUUAAAGAAUUUAAUUAAAGAAGUUUCUCGCUGCGGCUAUCUUUAACAUUCCAUUGUGUUUUCAUUAAAGAAGUACACUCCUUAAUUGUGUUUUCAUUCGAUUUUGUAUAGAUGACAGAAGUUGAAAGUAGAGCAAGUGAGGUAGGUUCAUCUGAAAGCGAACCUACUUCUUCACCUACAAAUUCAGUUAGUCAAGACCCAAAAAAAAAAAUCUGUACAAACUAGAUCACUUGCUUGGGAUCAUUUUGAAAAGUUUAAAGAUUUUAAUGGAGAUGAUAGAGCAAAGUGUAAAUAUUGUAGUCGUGAUUAUAAGGCUAAUUCACGAUUGAAUGGAACAACAUCAUUGAAUACUCAUUUAAAGAAGUGUCCAAAAAUACCACGAAAAGUUGAUAAUACUCAAACACAAUUGUGUUUUCAAACGGAUGGGCAAAUUAAUGGUGGGGUGCUUUGGAAAUUUGAUCAAGAACUAGUUAGGAGGGCUUUAGUUGAGAUGGUAAUUAUGGAGGAAUUACCUUUUAGCUUUGUUGAAAAGAAAGGCUUUAAAAAGUUUAUGAGCAUAGCCCAACCUCAAUUUAAUGUUCCUUCUCGUAGGACAAUUUUCAAGGGAUUGUUUCCAAGUUUACAAUGAAGAGAGGCUUAAACUAAUGAAAAAUUUUAGAGAUGUAAAACCAAGAAUUUGCCUUACCACAGACACAUGGACUUCGUUAUAAAGAAUUAACUAUAUGUGUUUGACGGGUCAUUUUAUUGAUAGAGAUUGGUUGUUGCAUAAAAGAAUACUAAAUUUUUGCCCUAUCUCUAGUCAUAAGGGUGACGAAAUAGCAAAGGUUAUUGGUAAUUGUUUGCUUGAAUGGAAAUUGGAUAAGGUAUUCACUGUUACCAUUAAUAAUGCCUUUUCAAAUGAUGUCAUGGUUAAAGAAUUGUCUAAACAACUAGAUAUGAGGAAAACUAAUUCGAUGGGUGGCAACCAUCUUCAUGUGAGAUGCGUGGCUCACAUACUUAAUCUAAUUGUGCAAGAUGGUUUGAAGAAAAUUGAUAUUUCUGUAAAAUGUGUUGGACAAGCUGUUAGGUAUGUGAGAUCAUCUCCACAAAGGACCUUAAAGUUUAGGGAAUGUUGUGCACAUCAAGAGGUAGAAUACACAUAAAAUACAUGAAAUACAUAUAUAUAUAUANNNNNNNNNNNNNNNNNNNNNNNNNNNNNNNNNNNNNNNNNNNNNNNNNNNNNNNNNNNNNNNNNNNNNNNNNNNNNNNNNNNNNNNNNNNNNNNNNNNNNNNNNNNNNNNNNNUAUAUAUAUAUAUAUAUAUAUAUAUAUAUGUAUAUACACAACUAUAAGAAGUUAAUAACCACUAAAUAAUAGUCAUUUAUGAAUAUUUCUCAAAAAAAUUCGGGCUGACUUGAUAGAAGGCCCUAUGAGUUUCAAAUCGCUAGCCCAAACUUGUCUGGCGGAUUGGAUCAACAAUAAGUAAAAAUAAUACCAGGUAACCACUCGUAUGCUAUUUAGGAAUCAAUUAGUGUAUUCUGAAUCUUAAAUUUUCAGUUUAAAAUUUUAAAAUAAAAAUAUUCUAAAAUUAAAAUUUAUAAUUUACAAUUUCAAAAUAAAAUAAAUAUUAAUUAAUCUCAAAAUAGCAUCCUAGAGAUGUUGUGUGUGCACUUGCCCCCGAUAAUACUAUUAUUGGCUUAUUCUUCAAACCCAAAUUUGAAAAGAUUUAUCAGCCCAUUAAUUUGCGUAAGAAUCUCGUCUUGGGUCAGGUUGUCGCAUUUCUCCCUCAACGUCGAUCUCUCUAGAAUCUCCUUCUUCCGUCGGCGAACUCAUUCCGAUCUCUUUCUCUGGCGAAUUCCACUCGUAAGAAACUCUCCAAUCUCUCUUCUGUUCCAAUAUUCUUUUCUUUUGUAAUUAAACUGAUUCUAUAAUCAAAUUUUCUUCCCGUAUUGUUUUAAAUUUAAGCUGGCAUUACAUGCUGAUUGCUUGUAUGAAAAAUCAGUGUAGUAAUUAAUACAAUAAAAAGGUAGAACCUUUAUCAUUGUUUUAUGGGUCCUGCUCUUGCAUCACUUUAGUGGAACUUUGCGACUAUCAAGUCAUUUUUCCAUUCUUGCUAAUUAUAUUAAAAUUCCAGGUUUCAUUUUUUUCUUCUCACGGGCCAUAAGAUCAAGGUUAGUUUGUUAGAUUACUUGAAAAUCAAUAUCUCUAUUAAAAGUAACUAAUAACUCGCAAUUAUUAGUUUCUUUUUCCUUGGAAGGAGCAAUUGAUAGGAACAUGUUGCUGUCGAGAAUUGUGGUAGAAGGUUAGUAGGCAGUCGUGUGUGUGUCUUUCCCGUACCAGUAGGAUUAGUUUUUAACCUUGUAUGUGAU
RNAcentral lists this long non-coding RNA (2646 nucleotides) under Nicotiana benthamiana. RNAcentral's name for it is "long non-coding RNA (NBEN_LNC040481)". The record is from RNAcentral. Lineage: Eukaryota; Viridiplantae; Streptophyta; Magnoliopsida; Solanales; Solanaceae.